AAUGAACGUUGGCGGCGUGGAUUAGGCAUGCAAGUCGAGCGAGAACCCCGCAAGGGGGGACAGCGGCGAAAGGGACAGUAAUGUGUAGAUUAUCUGCCCUCAGGUCCGGGAUAGCUGCGGGAAACUGCAGGUAAUACCGGAUAACAUCUCCGGAUCAAAGGUGUGAUUCCGCCUGAGGAUGAGUCUGCAUCCUAUUAGCUAGUUGGUGGGGUAAUGGCCUACCAAGGCAUUGAUGGGUAGCAGGUGUGAGAGCACGACCUGCGUCAUUGGGACUGAGACACUGCCCAGACACCUACGGGUGGCUGCAGUCGAGAAUCUUCGGCAAUGGGCGCAAGCCUGACCGAGCGACGCCGCGUGUGGGAUGAAGGCCUUCGGGUUGUAAACCACUGUCAGAGGUGAUGAAAUGCAGGUGGGUUCUCCCAUCUGUUUGACAUAGCCUCAGAGGAAGGACGGGCUAAGUUCGUG
This 465-nucleotide ribosomal RNA is filed under the name uncultured bacterium. RNAcentral describes it as "partial 16S ribosomal RNA". It matches the Rfam family "Bacterial small subunit ribosomal RNA", at positions 29 to 507 of the family's 1533-position model. The record is from RNAcentral.